RNAcentral lists this ribosomal RNA (884 nucleotides) under uncultured bacterium. RNAcentral's name for it is "bacterial SSU rRNA". It matches the Rfam family "Bacterial small subunit ribosomal RNA", at positions 56 to 953 of the family's 1533-position model. The record is from RNAcentral.
UGCAGUCGAACGAGAGAUGAGGAGCUUGCUCUUCAAAUCGAGUGGCGAACGGGUGAGUAACGCGUGAGGAACCUGCCUCAAAGAGGGGGACAACAGUUGGAAACGACUGCUAAUACCGCAUAAGCCCACGGCUCGGCAUCGAGCAGAGGGAAAAGGAGUGAUCCGCUUUGAGAUGGCCUCGCGUCCGAUUAGCUAGUUGGUGAGGUAACGGCCCACCAAGGCGACGAUCGGUAGCCGGACUGAGAGGUUGAACGGCCACAUUGGGACUGAGACACGGCCCAGACUCCUACGGGAGGCAGCAGUGGGGAAUAUUGCACAAUGGGGGAAACCCUGAUGCAGCGACGCCGCGUGGAGGAAGAAGGUCUUCGGAUUGUAAACUCCUGUUGUCGAGGAAGAUAAUGACGGUACUCAACAAGGAAGUGACGGCUAACUACGUGCCAGCAGCCGCGGUAAAACGUAGGUCACAAGCGUUGUCCGGAAUUACUGGGUGUAAAGGGAGCGCAGGCGGGAGAACAAGUUGGAAGUGAAAUCCAUGGGCUCAACCCAUGAACUGCUUUCAAAACUGUUUUUCUUGAGUAGUGCAGAGGUAGGCGGAAUUCCCGGUGUAGCGGUGGAAUGCGUAGAUAUCGGGAGGAACACCAGUGGCGAAGGCGGCCUACUGGGCACCAACUGACGCUGAGGCUCGAAAGUGUGGGUAGCAAACAGGAUUAGAUACCCUGGUAGUCCACACCGUAAACGAUGAUUACUAGGUGUUGGAGGAUUGACCCCUUCAGUGCCGCAGUUAACACAAUAAGUAAUCCACCUGGGGAGUACGACCGCAAGGUUGAAACUCAGAGGAAUUGACGGGGGGCCCGCACAAGCAGUGGAGUAUGUGGUUUAAUUCG